Molecule: ribosomal RNA, 468 nt
Filed under: uncultured bacterium
Lineage: Bacteria
Description: partial 16S ribosomal RNA
Rfam family: Bacterial small subunit ribosomal RNA
Source: RNAcentral
GACGAACGCUGGCGGCGUGCUUAACACAUGCAAGUCGAACGGAAAGGCCCUGCUUUUGUGGGGUGCUCGAGUGGCGAACGGGUGAGUAACACGUGAGUAACCUGCCCUUGACUUUGGGAUAACUUCAGGAAACUGGGGCUAAUACCGGAUCGGAGCUCCUGCUGCAUGGUGGGGGUUGGACAGUUUCGGCGGUUGGGGAUGGACUCGCGGCUUAUCAGCUUGUUGGUGGGGUAGUGGCUUACCAAGGCUUUGACGGGUAGCCGGCCUGAGAGGGUGACCGGCCACAUUGGGACUGAGAUACGGCCCAGACUCCUACGGGAGGCAGCAGUGGGGAAGAUUGCACAAUGGGCGGAAGCCUGAUGCAGCAACGCCGCGUGCGGGAUGACGGCCUUCGGGUUGGAAACCGCUUUCGCCUGUGACGAAGCGUGAGUGACGGUAAUGGGUAAAGAAGCACCGGCUAACUACGUG